AUUGAACGCUGGCGGCAUGCCUUACACAUGCAAGUCGAACGGUAACGGGCCUUCGGGUGCCGACGAGUGGCGAACGGGUGAGUAAUACAUCGGAACGUGCCCGAUCGUGGGGGAUAACGAGGCGAAAGCUUUGCUAAUACCGCAUACGAUCUACGGAUGAAAGCAGGGAACCGCAAGGCCUUGCGCGGACGGAGCGGCCGAUGGCAGAUUAGGUAGUUGGUGGGAUAAAAGCUUACCAAGCCGACGAUCUGUAGCUGGUCUGAGAGGAUGAUCAGCCACACUGGGACUGAGACACGGCCCAGACUCCUACGGGAGGCAGCAGUGGGGAAUUUUGGACAAUGGGCGCAAGCCUGAUCCAGCCAUGCCGCGUGCAGGAUGAAGGCCUUCGGGUUGUAAACUGCUUUUGUACGGAACGAAAAGCCUUCUUUUAAUACAGGAGGGUCAUGACGGUACCGUAAGAAUAAGCACCGGCUAACUACGU
This 481-nucleotide ribosomal RNA is filed under the name uncultured bacterium. RNAcentral describes it as "partial 16S ribosomal RNA". It matches the Rfam family "Bacterial small subunit ribosomal RNA", at positions 30 to 506 of the family's 1533-position model. The record is from RNAcentral.